This 500-nucleotide ribosomal RNA is filed under the name uncultured bacterium. RNAcentral's name for it is "partial 16S ribosomal RNA". It matches the Rfam family "Bacterial small subunit ribosomal RNA", at positions 30 to 523 of the family's 1533-position model. The record is from RNAcentral.
AUCGAACGCUGGCGGCAGGCUUAACACAUGCAAGUCGAGCGGGGGAAGGUAGCUUGCUACCGGACCUAGCGGCGGACGGGUGAGUAAUGCUUAGGAAUCUGCCUAUUAGUGGGGACAACAUCUCGAAAGGGAUGCUAAUACCGCAUACGUCCUACGGGAGAAAGCAGGGGAUCUUCGGACCUUGCGCUAAUAGAUGAGCCUAAGUCGGAUUAGCUAGUUGGUGGGGUAAAGGCCUACCAAGGCGACGAUCUGUAGCGGGUCUGAGAGGAUGAUCCGCCACACUGGGACUGAGACACGGCCCAGACUCCUACGGGAGGCAGCAGUGGGGAAUAUUGGACAAUGGGGGGAACCCUGAUCCAGCCAUGCCGCGUGUGUGAAGAAGGCCUUAUGGUUGUAAAGCACUUUAAGCGAGGAGGAGGCUCUUUUGGUUAAUACCCAAGAUGAGUGGACGUUACUCGCAGAAUAAGCACCGGCUAACUCUGUGCCAGCCGCCGCGGUAA